This 737-nucleotide ribosomal RNA is filed under the name Russula ellipsospora. Its description in RNAcentral is "eukaryotic LSU rRNA". The stretch from base 257 to 410 matches the Rfam family "5.8S ribosomal RNA". Lineage: Eukaryota; Fungi; Basidiomycota; Agaricomycetes; Russulales; Russulaceae. The record is from RNAcentral.
AAGUAAAAGUCGUAACAAGGUUUCCGUAGGUGAACCUGCGGAAGGAUCAUUAUCGUACAACGGAGACGCAACGGCUGUUGCUGACCUUCAAAAGGUCGUGCACGCCCGAGUGCUCUCACACACAUCCAUCUCACCCCUAUGUGCAUCAACGCGUGGGUUUCCUUUGAAAAAGGGGGGCCCGCGUUUUUUUCCCCACACAAACCUCAAAGUAAUAUAGAAUGUACUUUUCUUUUUGCGGUGACACGCAAAUCAAUACAACUUUCAACAACGGAUCUCUUGGCUCUCGCAUCGAUGAAGAACGCAGCGAAAUGCGAUACGUAAUGUGAAUUGCAGAAUUCAGUGAAUCAUCGAAUCUUUGAACGCACCUUGCGCCCCUUGGCAUUCCGAGGGGCACACCCGUUUGAGUGUCGUGGAAUCUUCAAAACCUUUUUUCUUUCUUUCUUUGAUUGAGAAAAGGAUUUUGGACUUGGAGGAUCGAUGCUUGCUUUUCUUUUUGAAAGGCGAGCUCCUCUCAAAGGAAUUAGUGGGGGUUUGCUUUGCUGAUCCUUGACGUGAUAAGGUGUUCCUACGUUUUGGAGCCAGCACUGUGCCCGCUUCCAACUGUCCAUAUGGACAAAAGAUGGUGUUCUGGUCACCGCUGCCUGUGUCGGUGGAAGGCUGGACCCACAAAAAAAACCUUGACCUCAAAUCGGGUGAGACUACCCGCUGAACUUAAGCAUAUCAAUAAGCGGAGGAAG